This 577-nucleotide ribosomal RNA is filed under the name Fictibacillus sp. B1. RNAcentral's name for it is "bacterial SSU rRNA". It matches the Rfam family "Bacterial small subunit ribosomal RNA", at positions 103 to 666 of the family's 1533-position model. Lineage: Bacteria; Bacillati; Bacillota; Bacilli; Caryophanales; Fictibacillaceae. The record is from RNAcentral.
CGGGUGAGUAACACGUGGGUAAUCUGCCUGUAAGACGGGGAUAACUCCGGGAAACCGGGGCUAAUACCGGAUAAUAAAAAGAAACGCAUGUUUCUUUUUUGAAAGUCGGUUUCGGCUGACACUUACAGAUGAGCCCGCGGCGCAUUAGCUAGUUGGUGAGGUAACGGCUCACCAAGGCGACGAUGCGUAGCCGACCUGAGAGGGUGAUCGGCCACACUGGGACUGAGACACGGCCCAGACUCCUACGGGAGGCAGCAGUAGGGAAUCUUCGGCAAUGGGCGAAAGCCUGACCGAGCAACGCCGCGUGAGCGAUGAAGGCCUUCGGGUCGUAAAGCUCUGUUGUUAGAGAAGAACAAGUACGAGAGUAACUGCUCGUACCUUGACGGUACCUAACCAGAAAGCCACGGCUAACUACGUGCCAGCAGCCGCGGUAAUACGUAGGUGGCAAGCGUUAUCCGGAAUUAUUGGGCGUAAAGCGCGCGCAGGCGGUCUCUUAAGUCUGAUGUGAAAGCCCACGGCUCAACCGUGGAGGGUCAUUGGAAACUGGGAGACUUGAGUGCAGGAGAGAGAAGUGGAA